AUGGCGACCGGCGCACGGUGAGUAACGCGUAUGCAACUUACCUAUCAGGAGGGGAUAGCCCGGCGAAAGUCGGAUUAAUACCCCAUAAAACAGGGGUCCCGCAUGGGAAUAUUUGUUAAAGAUUCAUCGCUGAUAGAUAGGCAUGCGUUCCAUUAGGCAGUUGGCGGGGUAACGGCCCACCAAACCGACGAUGGAUAGGGGUUCUGAGAGGAAGGUCCCCCACAUUGGUACUGAGACACGGACCAA
This 246-nucleotide ribosomal RNA is filed under the name uncultured bacterium. Its description in RNAcentral is "partial 16S ribosomal RNA". It matches the Rfam family "Bacterial small subunit ribosomal RNA", at positions 88 to 334 of the family's 1533-position model. The record is from RNAcentral.